Non-coding RNA from Synergistes jonesii, 349 nucleotides. It matches the Rfam family "Bacterial RNase P class A". From Rfam's summary of the family: Ribonuclease P (RNase P) is a ubiquitous endoribonuclease, found in archaea, bacteria and eukarya as well as chloroplasts and mitochondria. Its best characterised activity is the generation of mature 5'-ends of tRNAs by cleaving the 5'-leader elements of precursor-tRNAs. Cellular RNase Ps are ribonucleoproteins. NCBI's taxonomy places the organism in Bacteria, Thermotogati, Synergistota, Synergistia, Synergistales, Synergistaceae. The record is from Rfam.
GGAGUAUCCAAACCGGCCGCCGGCGCUCAGGCGCGGGAGGAAAGUCCGGGCUCCGCAGGGCGGGAUGCAGGAGAAAUUCCUGCGGGUGCGAACUCAGGGAAAGUGCCGCAGAAAAGAAUACCGCCGCGAAAGCGGUAAGGGUGAAAAGGCGGGGUAAGAGCCCACCGGCCGCAUGGGGAACCAGCGGGCCAGGCAAACCCCAUCCGGAGCAAGGUCGAAUAGGGAAGGUUGAGGCUGCCCGCCGACUUCCGGGUACGACCGCUGAUUCGUGCGUGCAAGCGCGCGAUUAGAUAAAUGGCCGGAAAGAGCUGCGCUCUUCACAAAACCCGGCUUACUGGGUGCUCUUCAU